RNAcentral lists this transfer RNA (73 nucleotides) under Rodentolepis nana. Its description in RNAcentral is "Hymenolepis nana tRNA". It matches the Rfam family "tRNA". Rfam says of the family: Transfer RNA (tRNA) molecules are approximately 80 nucleotides in length. Their secondary structure includes four short double-helical elements and three loops (D, anti-codon, and T loops). Further hydrogen bonds mediate the characteristic L-shaped molecular structure. tRNAs have two regions of fundamental functional importance: the anti-codon, which is responsible for specific mRNA codon recognition, and the 3' end, to which the tRNAs corresponding amino acid is attached (by aminoacyl-tRNA synthetases). tRNAs cope with the degeneracy of the genetic code in two manners: having more than one tRNA (with a specific anti-codon) for a particular amino acid; and 'wobble' base-pairing, i.e. permitting non-standard base-pairing at the 3rd anti-codon position. Lineage: Eukaryota; Metazoa; Platyhelminthes; Cestoda; Cyclophyllidea; Hymenolepididae. The record is from Rfam by way of RNAcentral.
GGCCAUGUGGCCUAAUGGAAAAGGCGUCUGACUUCGGAUUAGAAGAUUGCAGGUUUGAGUCUUGCCAGGGUCG